CAUGGCUCAGAUUGAAUGCUGGCGGAAUGCUUUACACAUGCAAGUCGAACGGCAGCACGGACUUCGGUCUGGUGGCGAGUGGCGAACGGGUGAGUAACAUAUCGGAACGUAUCCAAUAAUGGGGGAUAACUAAUCGAAAGGUUGGCUAAUACCGCAUACGCCCUGAGGGGGAAAGCUAGGGAUCUUCGGACCUGGCGUUAAUGGAGCGGCCGAUAUCUGAUUAGCUAGUUGGUGAGGUAAAGGCUCACCAAGGCGACGAUCAGUAGCUGGUCUGAGAGGACGACCAGCCACACUGGAACUGAGACACGGUCCAGACUCCUACGGGAGGCAGCAGUGGGGAAUUUUGGACAAUGGGCGCAAGCCUGAUCCAGCCAUUCCGCGUGAGUGAAGAAGGCCUUCGGGUUGUAAAGCUCUUUCGCAAGGGAAGAAAACUUAUCCUCUAACAUAGGAUGAGGUUGACGGUACCUUGAUAAGAAGCACCGGCUAACUACGUGCCAGCAGCCGCGGUAAUACGUAGGGUGCGAGCGUUAAUCGGAAUUACUGGGCGUA
This 549-nucleotide ribosomal RNA is filed under the name uncultured Methylophilaceae bacterium. RNAcentral describes it as "bacterial SSU rRNA". It matches the Rfam family "Bacterial small subunit ribosomal RNA", at positions 18 to 562 of the family's 1533-position model. The record is from RNAcentral. Lineage: Bacteria; Pseudomonadati; Pseudomonadota; Betaproteobacteria; Nitrosomonadales; Methylophilaceae.